GGAGCUAACGCGUUAAGUCGACCGCCUGGGGAGUACGGCCGCAAGGUUAAAACUCAAAUGAAUUGACGGGGGCCCGCACAAGCGGUGGAGCAUGUGGUUUAAUUCGAUGCAACGCGAAGAACCUUACCUGGUCUUGACAUCCACGGAAGUUUUCAGAGAUGAGAAUGUGCCUUCGGGAACCGUGAGACAGGUGCUGCAUGGCUGUCGUCAGCUCGUGUUGUGAAAUGUUGGGUUAAGUCCCGCAACGAGCGCAACCCUUAUCCUUUGUUGCCAGCGGUCCGGCCGGGAACUCAAAGGAGACUGCCAGUGAUAAACUGGAGGAAGGUGGGGAUGACGUCAAGUCAUCAUGGCCCUUACGACCAGGGCUACACACGUGCUACAAU
Molecule: ribosomal RNA, 383 nt
Filed under: Escherichia coli
Lineage: Bacteria; Pseudomonadati; Pseudomonadota; Gammaproteobacteria; Enterobacterales; Enterobacteriaceae
Description: bacterial SSU rRNA
Rfam family: Bacterial small subunit ribosomal RNA
Source: RNAcentral